This 408-nucleotide ribosomal RNA is filed under the name Sarocladium strictum. RNAcentral's name for it is "partial small subunit ribosomal RNA". It matches the Rfam family "Eukaryotic small subunit ribosomal RNA", at positions 30 to 432 of the family's 1831-position model. The record is from RNAcentral. Lineage: Eukaryota; Fungi; Ascomycota; Sordariomycetes; Hypocreales; Sarocladiaceae.
GCUUGUCUCAAAGAUUAAGCCAUGCAUGUCUAAGUAUAAAUAAUUCUAUACUGUGAAACUGCGAAUGGCUCAUUAUAUCAGUUAUAGUUUAUUUGAUAGUCCCUUACUACUUGGAUAACCGUAGUAACUCUAGAGCUAAUACAUGCGCAAAUUCCCGACUGUCGCAAGGCGGAAAGGAUGUAUUUAUUAGAUACAAAACCAAUGCCCUUCGGGGCUCCUUGGUGAUUCAUGAUAACUAUACGAAUCGCACGGCCUUGCGCCGGCGAUGGUUCAUUCAAAUUUCUUCCCUAUCAACUUUCGAUGUUUGGGUAUUGGCCAAACAUGGUUGCAACGGGUAACGGAGGGUUAGGGCUCGACCCCGGAGAAGGAGCCUGAGAAACGGCUACUACAUCCAAGGAAGGCAGCAGG